ACUCCUACGGGAGGCAGCAGUGGGGAAUAUUGCACAAUGGGCACAAGCCUGAUGCAGCCAUGCCGCGUGUGUGAAGAAGGCCUUCGGGUUGUAAAGCACUUUCAGUCGUGAGGAAGGUAGUGUAGUUAAUAGCUGCAUUAUUUGUACGUUAGCGACAGAAGAAGCACCGGCUAACUCCGUGCCAGCAGCCGCGGUAAUACGGAGGGUGCGAGCGUUAAUCGGAAUUACUGGGCGUAAAGCGCAUGCAGGUGGUUUGUUAAGUCAGAUGUGAAAGCCCGGGGCUCAACCUCGGAAUAGCAUUUGAAACUGGCAGACUAGAGUACUGUAGAGGGGGUAGAAUUUCAGGUGUAGCGGUGAAAUGCGUAGAGAUCUGAAGGAAUACCGGUGGCGAAGGCGGCCCCCUGGACAGAUACUGACACUCAGAUGCGAAAGCGUGGGAGCAAACAGGAUUAGAUACCCCGU
RNAcentral lists this ribosomal RNA (462 nucleotides) under uncultured bacterium. RNAcentral describes it as "bacterial SSU rRNA". It matches the Rfam family "Bacterial small subunit ribosomal RNA", at positions 335 to 790 of the family's 1533-position model. The record is from RNAcentral.